RNAcentral lists this long non-coding RNA (429 nucleotides) under Triticum aestivum (bread wheat). Its description in RNAcentral is "long non-coding RNA (TAES_LNC017920)". Lineage: Eukaryota; Viridiplantae; Streptophyta; Magnoliopsida; Poales; Poaceae. The record is from RNAcentral.
AAAACAUAUUCAGGCAUCACUGUGGGCAACUUAUCUAUGUACGCCUCAGGUUCUAUCCUCGAACAGUCAACUAUGUCCGUGUUAUCUGUGGGAGGUCGGCGGAGUUGACUCUGUCACGGCAGAUUGGAGAGGAUUGGGAUCUUGAUCUCAUGCAGGGAGGUGAGGCCACACUCUUAGAAGUUAGAACAAUAGAUGUGUAUUUAUGAAAAAAUUGAAUGGAUCAUGAAGUUUAUUGUUAGACUUGUUUAUUUUGAAGUUGAUCCAUAUUUCAAUUUAAUAUUGUAAUACUCAAGCUACUACCAUCUGGAUGCAGCGAAGGAGGUGUAAUCUCAUACUGAUGCUGGUUGAAGUCCUCCGUUGACUUGCAAGGAUGAGGUCGAGCGCAUCGUGGCCGCUGGAGUAGGAGAAGCAACGGGCGGCGGGGCUGAG